GUUCUUGUAGUUGAAUUACAACGGUGGUUUUUCAAGUCAUUAGUCUCGGUUAGAGCCCGGGCAAGAAUC
RNAcentral lists this transfer RNA (69 nucleotides) under Lampadena atlantica. Its description in RNAcentral is "tRNA-Glu". It matches the Rfam family "tRNA". From Rfam's summary of the family: Transfer RNA (tRNA) molecules are approximately 80 nucleotides in length. The record is from RNAcentral. Lineage: Eukaryota; Metazoa; Chordata; Actinopteri; Myctophiformes; Myctophidae.